UGACGGAGUCUCACUCUAUCGCGGAGGCUGGAGUGCAGUGGAGCAAUCUCAGCUCACUACAACCUCUGCCUCCUGGAUUCAAGAAAUUCUCCUGCCUCAGCCUCCCAAGUAGCUGGGAUUACAGGCGCCUGUCACCACGCCUGGCUAAUUUUUGUAUUUUUAGUAGAGACGGGGUUACACCAUGUUGGCCAGGCUGGUCUCGAACUCCUGAUCUCAGGUGAUCCACCCGCCUCAGCUUCCCAAAGUGCUGGGAUUAUAGGUCUGAGCCACCGUGCCCGGCCUUUUACAUGCUUUUAACUCAUUUAAUCCUCACAACAAACUCUGUGAGGUGGGUUCUUAUUUUUCCUACUUUAUAAAUGUGAUAACAGGCGUACAGAAGUUAAGUAAUUUGCCAUAUCCUAGAGGCUUCCAGAGCUCUCUGUCUUAAUCACUAAGGCUAUGCUGUAGGGUCUGGAGGGUGAAAGCAGUACCCAGCUUCAGGACUGCAACAGUGUCGCAGAGGCUCCAGUCU
Molecule: non-coding RNA, 511 nt
Filed under: Pan troglodytes (chimpanzee)
Lineage: Eukaryota; Metazoa; Chordata; Mammalia; Primates; Hominidae
Source: RNAcentral